This 280-nucleotide long non-coding RNA is filed under the name Capsicum annuum. Its description in RNAcentral is "long non-coding RNA (CANN_LNC003752)". Lineage: Eukaryota; Viridiplantae; Streptophyta; Magnoliopsida; Solanales; Solanaceae. The record is from RNAcentral.
UUUGUUCGAAACAACUUCUCUUCUUUACCCUACUCUAUAUAUCAUAAACAAUAGGAGUAUCAUAAGUAACACAAUGACUUCAACAAAGACUAAAGCCAUUAUUUUCUUCAUUGUAUUGAUCUUGAGUCAUGAGAUUUUACAUGUUGAAGCAAGGCACCUAAAGUCUAAGCACAGCAAACACCAUUCAAACACUUUGAAAGUGAAAAACAGUGGAAAUUAUAAGCCAUCUUCUAAUUUUGGGUCAUCAACACGAGCAACUGAAGGUAGCAGCAAGGCUGAG